GAUGAACGCUAGCGGCAGGCCUAAUACAUGCAAGCCGGACGGCAAGUUGAGUAGCAAUACUUGACCUAGAGUGGCGUAAGGGUGCGUAACACGUAUGCAAUCUGCCCACAGCCGGGGAGAUAGCCCUCCGAAAGGAGGAUUAAUAUCCCAUAGGAAGAUGAGAUGGCAUCAUUUUAUUUUUAAACUACGGGGCUGUGGAUGAGCAUGCGGUUGAUUAGCUAGUUGGCGGGGUAAAGGCCCACCAAGGCGAUGAUCAAUAGGGGACCUGAGAGGGUGAUCCCCACCACUGGCACUGAGAUACGGGCCAGACUCCUACGGAGGCAGCAGUAGGG
This 332-nucleotide ribosomal RNA is filed under the name uncultured bacterium. RNAcentral's name for it is "bacterial SSU rRNA". It matches the Rfam family "Bacterial small subunit ribosomal RNA", at positions 28 to 359 of the family's 1533-position model. The record is from RNAcentral.